Molecule: ribosomal RNA, 1899 nt
Filed under: Triticum aestivum (bread wheat)
Lineage: Eukaryota; Viridiplantae; Streptophyta; Magnoliopsida; Poales; Poaceae
Description: partial small subunit ribosomal RNA
Source: RNAcentral
AUGGGCCCGGGCAGCAACACUGACUGGUUUGGCGUUUCAGUGUUAACCAGCAACACCACAGGCUCUAGCGUUUCCAAAAAGGAGAAAAUAAGAUGCAAGGUUUUUGGGCCGCGCUGUGGGCAGCCCAUAACGGAGCUGUCGGCCUUGGCCCGUCAAAUAGGGGGACGCCUCCUUCCUUCCUCCCGUCCCACCAUCGGCGGCGUGCACCACUUCUCUCCUGCUGCCGCUCGCACAGUCUCGCAGCUCCCCAUACCUCACCGCUUUGCUCGCCACACGAAGGCGAGAGACGAAUCCGGCCGAGCCUCCGCCGCCGCUCAGCUCUUCCUCUCGGGACCUCGACUCGUCGAGGCGGAGUUCCUCGCGCCGUCCGUUCUCCAUUCCCGGCACCAGUUCAGGCUUCGUACUCCAGCUCCAGCUGCAGGACCGUGGCGCGCGCAGGGGCAAAUCGUAUUGCCAUGGCGGUUCAGUAGAAUGGUGCAUUCGGGGGGCGCAGGCUGCCACCGGUGUGGUUUGUGGCCAAGUGGAUCAGCCCCAAUUAUCGUUGUCACCGUCUCGAUGAUGCGCCCUUCCCGUUUCAGAGCACAUGCGGUGCAUUUAGAUUGUCCCCCUAGAACUGAACAGAGAAAUGUUGACGAUUUAGUGGUGAUGAGGCCUUACCAGCGGCCUGGGUCAGGGGACGAUUUCGCCAAGCGGAAGAAUGCGGGUAAUGUGGUAGUAAUGCGGCCAGAACGAAGAAUGCGGGAUGGUUCGGUGGAUCGUGCAGCCUCUGGAAAUGGCAGAGCAGCCGGGGACAUCGAGAGGGCCAUUUUGUCCCUGCAAGCUAAGCCGUGGAAACACUUGGGUCAGAACUCAAACGAGGGGGUUGAUUUGCCGAAAGAUAAAGGGGUGUUUUAUGCUGGCAACCUUCGCCGCUGUAUUAGAUUAAUCCGUGGCCUUGUUAAAACUGACAAGGCAAAUAAAGCCAGGGAAGUCCUUGAGGUUAUGGUGCUCUCAGGUGGGAUUCCAGAUACCAUCACCUGCAACAUGCUGAUUGCGCAACUUUGCUGCACAGGGCAGCUGGAUUUGGCGAUGAACGUAUUGGAGGACAUGAGGGCAAUCACCUUUUGGAAAGAGCAAUUAAGAAUAGGUUGGCCACCAUAUGUUAUGACGAGCACCUUGCUUGUUGAUCUUGUAUGCAAAAACUGUGGUCCUAAGCGUGCCAUGGAAGUCUUGAAUGAACUUGCUCUGGAGGGAUGCCAACCAGAUGUUGUCACCUACAAUGCUCUUAUCAGUGCAUCUUGUAAAGCAGGCAGGCUGAAGGACGCAAAGACCAUCUUAACUCGUCUUAUUGCUGAAGGCCUUGAGCCAAAUAUUACGUACAACACACUCCUAAAUGCCAUAUGUAAAGAGGGUAUGGUGGAAGAAGCUCUUUUGAUAGCCCGUUGCAUCAGAGAAAAUGGAUGGCAGUUGGUUCGUAUUACGUACAACACCCUGAUAGAUGCUUUAGCAAACAAGGGUGAGGUGGACAAAGCUAUGACUCUGUUUGAUGAGAUGUCUAGUGAUGGGAUCAGUCCCGAUGACAUUACUUAUGGUUCACUUGUUAUGUGCUUCUGUAGGAAAAACAUGGCUGAAGAGGCCCUAGAGCUCUUGAAUCGUACACUUGCUCUUGGUUUUCAGGUUAAAGUAACUACUUUUGUCAUGGUGAUCCAGGCAUUGUGCAGAGAUAGCAAAGCGGAAGCUGCUGCUGAUAUACUGCGAGUAAUGGUAUCAGAAAUUAAAAACACCAGCAACUCAUUUUAUCUAUCUAUAGUCAGAAGAGUCGCGAAAUCAGGCAGGAUUGAAGAAGCAGAAAGGCUGCUUCAGGAAUUAGUUGACUGCAAGAUAGUGAAAGAAGAUUCCCCUGUUGUGUUGAGCAGCUAG